Molecule: long non-coding RNA, 1036 nt
Organism: Malania oleifera
Lineage: Eukaryota; Viridiplantae; Streptophyta; Magnoliopsida; Santalales; Ximeniaceae
Exons: 4
Source: RefSeq, a predicted model, not a curated record
CAUUUGGUUGGGGAAGACUAGAAAAACUCAAUUCAGUUCAUGAUCCUAACAUUUGGAUUGUUUAUGAUUCUUUACCUUAACUAGUAAAAGCACAAAUGGAAAAAUUUGGUAGCUCCAAGUGACAAAAAAAAUUAAUAUUAGAUUUGCCCUCAUUGUGUUGUACAACUGAAAUAAAAUACCCCCCAUGUCCCAAUCCAUCACCAGUCGUCUUGGUCGGAGGAGUGCAAUAAUGCAGAGUCGAUUACUCUUAUGCACUGUUUUUGAUUCCCACAGAUGCAAUGGCGAUGGAAGUUGAAACCUUAAGCAAUUCAGCAAUAGUACGAGCCACUAGUUUGAAGAAAACUAGAACCAAGGAGACUUCUCCAGCAACUACAGUCCGAGGUUGAACGUGAAGAAAAAUUACUUUUUUGAAAAUUUAUAUAGUUGGAUCGUCUAUCACAAUUCGUCUUUGGAUUGCUUCUACCAUUAAGAACAACUUUUCAUUCAAGUUCUUAAUAUUAGAUGGAGGUUGCUUCCAUGGUCAUACAUUGGUUUUUAGACAACAAGUAUAUGCUCAUCCACAAAUCUAGGUCAUUUUCUCUUUUAUUUUUAUUUAUUUUUUUACUCCAUUAACAAUAAUUAAUUAUAUGAAAUUUAUUGAGAUGCCUAGUGUCAUGGUCUCAUGUUGAAUGUGCACUAGGAAGAUCUUCGACUUAUAAUGAUGGUUUGGACUCCAACAAUGUGAGAUGUCUUUUGUAGAACGAACGCACGAGGCAAGUGGACCAAAGAGAACAAUACCUCACCAUAGUUGGGUUCAGGACCCUUACACUUGGUAUUAGAGCCACACAAGGAGUACUAUCUUAUGGGUGAAUCUCGCCCAUAAAUAAUUCACUUGUAAAAAAAUAGACAUAAGAUCAAUAAUCUAUUUUUUUGUUGUGUUUUUUAGCCUUUUAUUUCAAUGUUUUCUCUUUUUGAUUUAUUCAAAAUAUAAACUUCUGUUAUCUUCAAUGUAAAGUAAGGAAUGUAUCGUCCAAUACUCAUAUUUCAAAAUCACAUU